This 253-nucleotide ribosomal RNA is filed under the name uncultured bacterium. RNAcentral's name for it is "partial 16S ribosomal RNA". It matches the Rfam family "Bacterial small subunit ribosomal RNA", at positions 524 to 776 of the family's 1533-position model. The record is from RNAcentral.
UACGGGGGGGGCAAGCGUUGUUCGGAAUUACUGGGCGUAAAGGGCUUGUAGGUGGCCAACUAAGUCAGACGUGAAAUCCCUCGGCUUAACCGGGGAACUGCGUCUGAUACUGGAUGGCUAGAGUUUGGGAGAGGGAUGCGGAAUUCCAGGUGUAGCGGUGAAAUGCGUAGAUAUCUGGAGGAACACCGGUGGCGAAGGCGGCGCUCUGGACCGAGACUGACGCUGAGGCGCGAAAGCGUGGGGAGCAAACAGG